Molecule: ribosomal RNA, 402 nt
Filed under: uncultured bacterium
Lineage: Bacteria
Description: bacterial SSU rRNA
Rfam family: Bacterial small subunit ribosomal RNA
Source: RNAcentral
GGGAAUAUUGCACAAUGGGGGAAACCCUGAUGCAGCAACGCCGCGUGGGUGAAGAAGUAUUUCGGUAUGUAAAGCCCUAUCAGCAGGGAAGAGAAUGACGGUACCUGACUAAGAAGCCCCGGCUAACUACGUGCCAGCAGCCGCGGUAAUACGUAGGGGGCAAGCGUUAUCCGGAUUUGCUGGGUGUAAAGGGAGCGUAGACGGUUGUGCAAGUCUGAAGUGAAAGCCCGCGGCUCAACUGCGGAACGGCUUUGGAAACUGUGUAACUGGAGUGCUGGAGAGGUAAGCGGAAUUCCUGGUGUAGCGGUGAAAUGCGUAGAGAUCAGGAGGAACACCGGCGGCGAAGGCGGCUUACUGGACAGUAACUGACGUUGAGGCUCGAAAGCGUGGGGAGCAAACAGG